Theobroma cacao (cacao) is the source of this 72-nucleotide transfer RNA. It matches the Rfam family "tRNA". Rfam says of the family: Transfer RNA (tRNA) molecules are approximately 80 nucleotides in length. Their secondary structure includes four short double-helical elements and three loops (D, anti-codon, and T loops). NCBI's taxonomy places the organism in Eukaryota, Viridiplantae, Streptophyta, Magnoliopsida, Malvales, Malvaceae. The record is from Rfam.
GGGCAUUUUGUCUAGUGGUAUGACUCUCGCUUUGCGUGUCAGAGGUCUGGAGUUUGAUUCUCGGAAUGCCCC